Molecule: long non-coding RNA, 621 nt
Organism: Pan paniscus (pygmy chimpanzee)
Lineage: Eukaryota; Metazoa; Chordata; Mammalia; Primates; Hominidae
Source: Ensembl
UGUUACCAUGGUGACACGGAGAGCCAGAUCGAUGCUUGGCGCUGGAUGAAGCUCUCAGUCACUGCCAGCUCCCUCCCCCUCCUCUCUCCCCUGAAGUGAGGAGUGUGUAAGGGUGGGGGAGGCUGGGGAGGGGUCAUUCCUCUCUCCCUAGAGCCUCCUGGAGUGAUGACAGGGGUCUCCCCAUCCUCCCAGAUCAUGGGCCUUGGCGGGGGGUAAGAUGGGAGCCUUCUGCCACCUCCAGACCCUUUGACUUGGAAGAAAUGGGACAAGGAGGGAGAACAGGGAUCCCAGGAGACCCCAGGAAACCUCCCAGCUGUUGUCACUAGGGCUCAAGGAUACAGGAGCCAAGUGUCACCUCCCUCCCCUCCGUCAUGCAGAGAUCUGCAAAGGGGGUGCAAGGAUUCUAAAGAAGUUUCUUCUUGGCAGAGGCUUGAGCAAGGCACAGUUGAUGAAAUUGAUUGUGGCAAGAUGAUGUGAGAAUAGGAACACAUUCUUUACUACUGAAAGAUGCACAUAAAAGAAAAGUUCGCUGACUCCUGUCCUAGAGGAUGGAGCCCCAAGAAUGUCUGAACACUAAUAGCAGCUGCUGGACAGGUGAGUACCCAGAACAAAUCUUGGGAA